GAUGAAGAACGCAGCGAAAUGCGAUAAGUAGUGUGAAUUGCAGAAUUUAGUGAAUCAUCGAAUCUUUGAACGCACAUUGCGCCCUUUGGUAUUCCUUAGGGCAUGCCUGUUCGAGCGUCAUCUACACCCUCAAGCACAGCUUGGUGAUGGGCGCCUGUCCCGCCCCCCACGGGGGCGCGGACUCGCCUCAAAUGCAUUGGCGGCCGGCGACCUGGCUUCGAGCGCAGCAGAAACGCGUACUCGGGGACCGGGCGCCCGCUCCCAGAAGCCAACCCUCCCAGUUUGACCUCGGAUCAGGUAGGGAUACCCGCUGAACUUAAGCAUAUCAAUAAGCGGAGGA
This 340-nucleotide unclassified non-coding RNA is filed under the name soil metagenome. RNAcentral describes it as "partial contains 5.8S ribosomal RNA, internal transcribed spacer 2, and large subunit ribosomal RNA". The stretch from base 1 to 120 matches the Rfam family "5.8S ribosomal RNA", at positions 35 to 154 of the family's 154-position model. The record is from RNAcentral.